UGGGGGAUAUUGCACAAUGGGCGAAAGCCUGAUGCAGCGACGCCGCGUGGGGGAUGAAGGCUUUCGGGUUGUAAACCUCUUUCGCUAUCGAACAAGGCCCGCUUAGGGUGGGUUGAGGGUAGGUGGAGAAGAAGCGCCGGCUAACUACGUGCCAGCAGCCGCGGUAAUACGUAGGGCGCGAGCGUUGUCCGGAAUUAUUGGGCGUAAAGGGCUUGUAGGCGGCUUGUUGCGCCUGCUGUGAAAACGCGGGGCUUAACUUCGCGCGUGCAGUGGGUACGGGCAGGCUUGAGUGUGGUAGGGGUGACUGGAAUUCCAGGUGUAGCGGUGGAAUGCGAAGAUAUCUGGAGGAACGCCGAUGGCGAAGGCAGGUCACUGGGCCAUUACUGACGCUGAGGAGCGAAAGCAUGGGUAGCGAACAGG
Molecule: ribosomal RNA, 420 nt
Filed under: bacterium
Lineage: Bacteria
Description: partial 16S ribosomal RNA
Rfam family: Bacterial small subunit ribosomal RNA
Source: RNAcentral